AAAGAUGUAGCUCAGUGGUAGAGUUCUUGCCUAGUAAGCAAGCAUGAGAGGCCUGCGUUCAAUCCUCAGUAUCAUAA
Molecule: transfer RNA, 77 nt
Filed under: Cricetulus griseus (Chinese hamster)
Lineage: Eukaryota; Metazoa; Chordata; Mammalia; Rodentia; Cricetidae
Rfam family: tRNA
About the family: Transfer RNA (tRNA) molecules are approximately 80 nucleotides in length. Their secondary structure includes four short double-helical elements and three loops (D, anti-codon, and T loops). Further hydrogen bonds mediate the characteristic L-shaped molecular structure. tRNAs have two regions of fundamental functional importance: the anti-codon, which is responsible for specific mRNA codon recognition, and the 3' end, to which the tRNAs corresponding amino acid is attached (by aminoacyl-tRNA synthetases). tRNAs cope with the degeneracy of the genetic code in two manners: having more than one tRNA (with a specific anti-codon) for a particular amino acid; and 'wobble' base-pairing, i.e. permitting non-standard base-pairing at the 3rd anti-codon position.
Source: Rfam by way of RNAcentral